CUCGCCUACAUGAAGCUGGAGUUACUAGUAAUCGCAGAUCAGAAUGCUGCGGUGAAUGCGUUCCCGGGUCUUGUACACACCGCCCGUCACACCACGGAAGUUGGGGGCGCCCGAAGCCACUUAGCUAACCCUUUUGGGGAAGCAAGUGUCGAAGGUGAAAUCAAUAACUGGGGUGAAGUCGUAACAAGGUAGC
Molecule: ribosomal RNA, 193 nt
Filed under: uncultured bacterium
Lineage: Bacteria
Description: partial 16S ribosomal RNA
Rfam family: Bacterial small subunit ribosomal RNA
Source: RNAcentral